AGGGUUUAAGAAGUGCAGUCCACAUGUUUAUUACAGUGAAAUACCUAAAGUAGCGUGGUAAAGCAACAGGGUUAGGGUUGGGUUAGCUGUUUAUAUUUCUGCAAUCUACUUUAGUUUGUGUGAUCUGUUACUGACUUUCAUGUUUAUGUUUACACCAGGCUUGUUUGUCAGGGCUUUAUGUUUUCAUAACUACUACAUGCUUACAAGGUUGGAAGUUCAACAAAUCAGUCAAUAUACUACUGUGAUGCAAAACAUGGACUUUCAUUAUCAUUUUUGAGUGAACUAACCCUUUAACACUGUAAAGCUGCUUUGAGACUAUCUGUACUGUAGAAAUAAAGGCGACUUCGAUGAAAUGACAGCUCGUGUGUGAGUGUAAAAGUGUGUGAAUGUGUGUGUGAUUGUAAAUGUGUUUGAGAGUGUAAAUGUGUGUGAUUAAGUAAGUGUGAGUGAGAGUGUGUGCAUCAGUGAGUGAGUGUGUGUGUGUGAGUGGGGGUGUGUGUGUCAGUGAAAGUCGUGACAUGGUAACCCAUACUCGGAACUGGUGCUCUGUAUUUGACCCAUUCAACAGUGAAAACACACACACACACACACACACACAGCAGUGAGAAGUGAACACACCGUGAACACACACCCGGAGCAGUGGGCAGCUAUAUAUCCAGAGCAACUGGGGGUUCAGUGCCUUGCUCAAGGGCACUUCAGUCAUGGGUAUUGAGGGAGGAAGAGAGCGCUGUUCAUUCACUCCCUCCCACCUACAACUCCUGCCAGCACCGAGACUCCAACCUGCGACUUUCUGGUUACAAGUCCAAUUCUCUAACCAUUAGGCCACAGCUGCCCCAGUGAGUGAGUGUGUGUGUGUGUGUGUGCGCGUGUGUGUCAGUGCCAGUGUGUGAGUGUGAGUGCGUGUGUGCAAGUGUAUGAGUGCCUGCCAGUGAGUGAAGUGUAGUGACAUAAAGCCAAGUAUGGUGACCCAUACUCAGAAUUGGUGCUCUGCAUUUAACCCAUCCAAAGUGCACACACACACCAGUGAACACACACACACCAUUUAUGCUGCCCGGUGCUGUGUGUGUGUUUGAGUGUGAGUGCGUGCGUGCGUGCGUACCAGUGCCAACGAUUGAGUGUGUGUGAGUGAGUGUUAGUGUGUGUGUGUGUGUGUGCGUGCGUGUGUGUGAGUGCCAGUGCGUUAGUGUGAGGUAGGUGAGGGUGUGUGUGUGUGUGAGGGCGUGCCAUUGCCAAUGUGUGUGUGUAUGUGUGUGUCAGAGUGAGUGUGUGAGUGUGUGUGUGUGUGUGUGUGUGUGUUUGUGACAUAUCAGGACACAACUUUGUAUAAUGUCAUGGGUAUGACACAGGUGUUACAAGCAGAGGGUGACUUAUGAGGACAUAACCCAUGUCCCCAUUUUUCAAAACGCUUAUAAACCAU
This is a long non-coding RNA of Cyprinus carpio carpio, 1417 nucleotides long. NCBI's taxonomy places the organism in Eukaryota, Metazoa, Chordata, Actinopteri, Cypriniformes, Cyprinidae. The record is from Ensembl.